CACCUUCUUACCUUGUUGUCAAAUUCCUAAAUCUCUUCAACCAAAUAAAGGAAGCCCUAAACCCCAACUUAUUCCUUCUCUCACUCAUUCAGUACUCUUCUCCUCUUUCCUCUAUCACCGUCAGUUUGGCCCUCUACCGGCGUUGCCGCCGCCGCUGCUGCUACUAUGGUUGCCGGAUUUUCUCUCUUCUCUAUUCUAUUGUUGAUUCGUGUUGCUUAAUCGGUUGUGGUUUUGUUUUCUCUCCUCUGCGUUGUUCCUCGGUGUUCCUCGCUGACGAGUUGUUGCUUGCUGUUUUGUUCUUUUCCGUCUCCUCUGCCUCAGCAUGGCGGUUGUCGAUGUUCGGUUGGUGGUCCACCGGCACCGCUGCCGCCGCUAAUAGUGGUCGAAGUUCAUAUAUCGAUUGGUAUGCAAAGAUGAUGUACUAAUGGGGCUAUAUGCGAAGUUGGGUAAAGAGUUCAUUGUUAGUGAUCUUGCAGGUUCGGAUGUGGAAAGCUCGGAAUAGAGUAAAAGGAAGAAUUAGUUAUCAAAGUUAUAAUUAGAUGUAAUGGUUCAGAAGUUGUAUUUAGGAUUAUAUAUCGUUAUUUGUAAAUAAAUUAUCAUAUUGCUUUGGAAGUCGAGCAAAGUAUUAUGUAAUAUGUUAUUUGGUUUUUGAGGAUGACUGUUGUGGGCCCAUAACCCACAGGUCCCAGGAUCGUUUAUAGGUUAUUUUUCCGCUGCAAGUAAAGAUAAUUCGAGGUUAAUAAACGUUAUUUGUAAUUAGUGUA
Long non-coding RNA from Beta vulgaris subsp. vulgaris (sugar beet), 764 nucleotides. RefSeq lists it as uncharacterized. Lineage: Eukaryota; Viridiplantae; Streptophyta; Magnoliopsida; Caryophyllales; Amaranthaceae. The transcript is spliced from 3 exons. The record is from RefSeq and is a predicted model, not a curated record.